Molecule: long non-coding RNA, 353 nt
Filed under: Bos taurus (domestic cattle)
Lineage: Eukaryota; Metazoa; Chordata; Mammalia; Artiodactyla; Bovidae
Description: long non-coding RNA NONBTAT015814
Source: RNAcentral
GCAGGUGGGGAGUCAGCCCUUGAGGGGGGUGAGGUUCAGGCCCUUAGACACGUUCUCCCUCGCUGUAGAAAACGAGGGCAGGUCAGAAGCUUAAGUCAUUUGAAAGAUGGAGAAGUCAUUUCUUCACACAGCCCUACCUGAGGGCCUGAGGGAGGGGGCCCUUCCCAAGACCCCUGUCCUUGAGCUUUGGGUGCCCCGCUCCUCCCCACCCUGCACUUGUUUCAGACAGUAAGGGCUUGGCUUGAUCUGAAUGAGGUUUGGGUGCUUUUUUACAGCAAAUCAAAGCCUCUAGCCUCAUCUCCAGGCCUGGUGCUCAGUGGCCCCGGUGGGGGUGGGGGUGGGGAGUGGUCAUG